AGAACCUGAAACCGUGUACGUACAAGCAGUAGGAGCACCUUCGUGGUGUGACUGCGUACCUUUUGUAUAAUGGGUCAGCGACUUAUAUUCAGUGGCAAGGUUAACCGUAUAGGGGAGCCGUAGCGAAAGCGAGUCUUAACUGGGCGCUCAGUCUCUGGAUAUAGACCCGAAACCGGGUGAUCUAGCCAUGGGCAGGUUGAAGGUUGAGUAACAUCAACUGGAGGACCGAACCGACUAAUGUUGAAAAAUUAGCGGAUGACUUGUGGCUAGGGGUGAAAGGCCAAUCAAACUCGGAGAUAGCUGGUUCUCCCCGAAAGCUAUUUAGGUAGCGCCUCGGACGAAUACUACUGGGGGUAGAGCACUGUUAAGGCUAGGGGGUCAUCCCGACUUACCAACCCUUUGCAAACUCCGAAUACCAGUAAGUACUAUCCGGGAGACACACGGCGGGUGCUAACGUCCGUCGUGGAGAGGGAAACAACCCAGACCGCCAGCUAAGGUCCCAAAGUAUUGCUAAGUGGGAAACGAUGUGGGAAGGCUCAGACAGCUAGGAUGUUGGCUUAGAAGCAGCCAUCAUUUAAAGAAAGCGUAAUAGCUCACUAGUCGAGUCGGCCUGCGCGGAAGAUGUAACGGGGCUAAGCAAUACACCGAAGCUGCGGCAAUGUCUUUUAGACAUUGGGUAGGGGAGCGUUCUGUA
Molecule: ribosomal RNA, 694 nt
Filed under: Vibrio cholerae
Lineage: Bacteria; Pseudomonadati; Pseudomonadota; Gammaproteobacteria; Vibrionales; Vibrionaceae
Description: partial 23S ribosomal RNA
Rfam family: Bacterial large subunit ribosomal RNA
Source: RNAcentral